AAAGAAAGAUGUGAAAUCCCAGGGCUCAACCUUGGAACUGCAUUUUUAACUGCCGAGCUAGAGUAUGUCAGAGGGGGUAGAAUUCCACGUGUAGCAGUGAAAUGCGUAGAUAUGUGGAGGAAUACCGAUGGCGAAGGCAGCCCCCUGGGAUAAUACUGACGCUCAGACACGAAAGCGUGGGGAGCAAACAGGAUUAGAUACCCUGGUAGUCCACGCCCUAAACGAUGUCAACUAGCUGUUGGGGCCGUUAGGCCUUAGUAGCGCAGCUAACGCGUGAAGUUGACCGCCUGGGGAGUACGGUCGCAAGAUUAAAACUCAAAGGAAUUGACGGGGACCCGCACAAGCGGUGGAUGAUGUGGAUUAAUUCGAUGCAACGCGAAAAACCUUACCUACCCUUGACAUGUCUGGAAAGCCGAAGAGAUUUGGCCGUGCUCGCAAGAGAACCGGAACACAGGUGCUGCAUGGUUGUCGUCAGCUCGUGUCGUGAGAUGUUGGGUUAAGUCCCGCAACGAGCGCAACCCUUGUCAUUAGUUGCUACGCAAGAGCACUCUAAUGAGACUGCCGGUGACAAACCGGAGGAAGGUGGGGAUGACGUCAAGUCCUCAUGGCCCUUAUGGGUAGGGCUUCACACGUCAUACAAUGGUCGGGACAGAGGGUCGCCAACCCGCGAGGGGGAGCCAAUCUCAGAAACCCGAUCGUAGUCCGGAUCGCAGUCUGCAACUCGACUGCGUGAAGUCGGAAUCGCUAGUAAUCGCGGAUCAGAAUGUCGCGGUGAAUACGUUCCCGGGUCUUGUACACACCGCCCGUCACACCAUGGGAGUGGGUUUCACCAGAAGUAGGUAGCCUAACCGUAAGGAGGGCGCUUACCACGGUGGGAUUCAUGUCUGGGGUGAAGUCGUAACAAGGUAGCCGUA
RNAcentral lists this ribosomal RNA (914 nucleotides) under uncultured bacterium. RNAcentral describes it as "bacterial SSU rRNA". It matches the Rfam family "Bacterial small subunit ribosomal RNA", at positions 584 to 1504 of the family's 1533-position model. The record is from RNAcentral.